RNAcentral lists this ribosomal RNA (253 nucleotides) under uncultured bacterium. Its description in RNAcentral is "partial 16S ribosomal RNA". It matches the Rfam family "Bacterial small subunit ribosomal RNA", at positions 524 to 776 of the family's 1533-position model. The record is from RNAcentral.
UACGGAGGGCGCAAGCGUUGUUCGGAAUCACUGGGCGUAAAGCGCGUGUAGGCGGCUUGGUAAGUCGGGUGUGAAAGCCCGGGGCUCAACCCCGGAACUGCACUCGAAACUGCCUCGCUCGAGUCCCGGAGAGGGUGGUGGAAUUCCCGGUGUAGAGGUGAAAUUCGUAGAUAUCGGGAGGAACACCAGUGGCGAAGGCGGCCACCUGGCCGGCGACUGACGCUGAGACGCGAAAGCGUGGGGAGCAAACAGG